CUGCAUUUUGCCCAUAAUUAAAUAUCUGAAUUCCAAUAGCCAUUCUAUCCUGGGAUUGGAACAUACAUACGUACAUACAUACAUACAUAAAUACAUACAUACAUACAUACAUACAUAUGUAUGUAUAUAUACAUGAAGAAAACGAUCACCAACACUGACAAAAGCUCAUCAAUAAAUCAAUGGCAUAUGGACUGAUCACUGCUGCAGAUAUUCUGGGUUGAAUGCAAGUGCCUCCCGAUAUAUCAGCUCCUUCAUCUGCUCCUCGG
Molecule: long non-coding RNA, 266 nt
Filed under: Gossypium barbadense (sea-island cotton)
Lineage: Eukaryota; Viridiplantae; Streptophyta; Magnoliopsida; Malvales; Malvaceae
Description: long non-coding RNA (GBAR_LNC002189)
Source: RNAcentral